AGAAAGUAUAAACACUGAAGUUUAUCGGGAUAAUUGUUUUUAUUGUUUAUUACAAAGAUAGAUGUUGGAUAUAGUAUACAACAUCUACAUCUGCUAACUAGUACUCGAACACUUCAAAUAUUACAAUUCAAGGGGGAUGACCUGAACAUCUAAUACAACAUGUUCAUUAACGACUUAAUUUAGUUGUUCACUCCGUACAAGGAGUGAUCUCGAACACAAAUACGCAUUGACAAGUAAAGAAAGCGCAUUAAUGUCAGCACAUGAUUAAAACUUGCUCCUGUACCAAUACACUCCUUUUGUCUCACCUUCAUCUUUCUCGACAUAAAUACACUCCUUCAUUUCUCUAUACAUCGCCUUAAGUAUUGGAGUUCCAUCAUAUUGAUAAUAUUCACCCAAUAUUGGCUUCAUUGCCUCAGUUGCUUCUAGUCCAUGAUAAUGUGGGAUCAUAGAGAAUAUGUGGUGACAAACAUGGGCAUUACAAACAUUAUGAAACACCUUGUUCAAAAUUCCAUAAUCUCUAUCUACGGUGCAUAGGGCUCCUCUUAACCAGUCCCACUCGGUGGAAUCAUAGUAAGGCAAGGAAGGGUGAGUGUGGUUCAAUAUGGUGAUCAACACGAACCAACCGUUAACAACUAACAAUGGACCUCCAUACACGCAAAAAACCCAUGCAAAUCCUUUGGCUAAAACAAGACGAUAUAGACCAUAGAUGACUGCAAGAAUAGCAAUAUCAGAGAUGAUGAUCUCUUUGCGCUCACGGUCUGAAUAGAGUGGGCUAUGAGGAUCAUAAUGGGAAGUCCACCUUUCGUACUUGUGGCCGGAUACAUUGAACAUCAAGUAUAAAGGAAAACCAAUAAGGAGUGUGGUAAUCCAAACAAACACUCGGCCAGGUGGAUUGUUAAGGAUUUUGUAAUAGUUGCGGAUGUUGGACUUAAAUCUUGGGACAUACACCUCGUCAUUUUCAAGGGAUUGGGUGUUG
This 976-nucleotide long non-coding RNA is filed under the name Panax ginseng (ginseng). RNAcentral describes it as "long non-coding RNA (PGIN_LNC001969)". The record is from RNAcentral. Lineage: Eukaryota; Viridiplantae; Streptophyta; Magnoliopsida; Apiales; Araliaceae.